RNAcentral lists this unclassified non-coding RNA (822 nucleotides) under Bombus terrestris (buff-tailed bumblebee). RNAcentral describes it as "misc RNA ENSBTSG00005027746.1". The record is from RNAcentral. Lineage: Eukaryota; Metazoa; Arthropoda; Insecta; Hymenoptera; Apidae.
UACCACCUCCCAUAUCACCACCUGCUCGCCCUCUUCCUCUACCACCGUCUCCACCUACUCGAGUAGCCCUUCUGCUUCUCUUCAUAUCUCCACUCACGAAUCCAGAGGAUCCAGACUGAGACAUCAUUGUGUGCCCCAAUUGGGCCAUAUCGUCAGGAGACAUACCUGGGGGUGGCCCGCAUGGUGAUCCAUUCGGUGGUGGGCCGCAAUUUUGAGAGUCACCUUGGGGGCUGCGUUUCUCUCGGUCGCUGUAAAGGCUGGAAGAACUGGAGGAACUAGACUCCGAGGGAGCUCCAAGGACCUCGAAUUAUUUUUAGAGAUAGUUCAGUUUAGGUAGUUUGGAUUUUCAGUUAUUAUUCUGGUCAUGAUAUAGCGAGGCAGUAGAGUAGGUAAAAUAAAUUGAUUCUUAAUUUGACAAAAAUAAAUUGAUUUCACAUCUCGAGUUCUAGGCUUACUUAAGCUUGGAAAUAUACUGGAAAUACAUUGGAAAUACAUUUGGAAAUACAAAUAAAAAAGAUGACGGGAAUAUAGAUGUAAUAUAAAACAUUCAAAACGAGAUACGUAUUGGUUUAUGAUAUUUAAAGAUUCAAGCGAAACUCUUAUCUUUUUAGUUAUGUCCAUAAAAAUAAAAAUUUAUAUAGAAAUCCAUAUACUGUGGAUGUUUAUAUAAAUUCACAUUUUUAUGAACUAUAACUAACAAAAAAAUAGUAUCAAUAAAGGUUCGUUUUAUCCAUUGAAUACUACAACGAGUAAUUUACAUCACUUUAUGCAUUUCAGCAUAUUCUGUGUAUUCUAUACAAUUUGAAACUUUUACAUAUCUUA